This 326-nucleotide ribosomal RNA is filed under the name uncultured bacterium. RNAcentral describes it as "bacterial SSU rRNA". It matches the Rfam family "Bacterial small subunit ribosomal RNA", at positions 28 to 334 of the family's 1533-position model. The record is from RNAcentral.
GAUGAACGCUGGCGGCGUGCUUAACACAUGCAAGUCGAACGAAGCACUACCGACGGAACUUUUCGGAGGGAAGAUGGUAAUGACUGAGUGGCGGACGGGUGAGUAACGCGUGGGCAACCUGCCCCAUAGAGGGGGACAACAGCUGGAAACGGCUGCUAAUACCGCAUAACAAGGAGAGGGCGCAUGUUCUUUUCUUCAAAGAUUUAUCGCUAUGGGAUGGACCCGCGUCUGAUUAGCUGGUUGGUGAGGUAACGGCUCACCAAGGCGACGAUCAGUAGCCGGCUUGAGAGAGUGGACGGCCACAUUGGGACUGAGACACGGCCCAG